UUUAGCCAUUCCGGAUUGGUCUCCGGUGAGGGACCAGACCAAUAACAGCAUUGGUCCUACAUGUUUCACGUUAGCAUGGUGCUAUAGUUCUCUGUGCUUCCCAGCAAACAGUAAAGUCUGAGACUCAGCAGAUGAAAGGCAUUGUGGGACAGUCUUUAUCGUUUCCAGAGAGAGUGUUUAAAACUGGAUAUUUAAGGUAUGGAGAAGACACUACUGCAAGUGUGAUCAAUGGACAAAGCCAUGUAGAUUUAGAAGAGAGAUUUAAAAAUCGCGUUCACUGGGACAAA
Molecule: long non-coding RNA, 287 nt
Filed under: Salmo salar (Atlantic salmon)
Lineage: Eukaryota; Metazoa; Chordata; Actinopteri; Salmoniformes; Salmonidae
Description: lncRNA (ENSSSAG00000097238.1, ENSSSAG00000106376.1)
Source: RNAcentral